GAUUUCUGGUACGGUGCGCCUGACCCACUGUCGAAAGGCGUGUGAAGUGUCGGUGUGCGUCUGCCAUCCUUCUAGGAAUCCUGUCGCACUUCAAUGGGCGGCAGCGCUGAACUAGAUCUUUUACUUUGAAAAAAUUAGAGUGUUUAAAGCAGGCUUGCGCCUUGAAUACAUUAGCAUGGAAUAAUAAUUUAGGACUUUGUUCCUAUUUUGUUGGUUUUAAGGAAUGAAGUAAUGAUUGAUAGGGAUAGUUGGGGGUGCUAGUAUUCAUCGGCCAGAGGUGAAAUUCUUGGAUUCGAUGAAGACUAACUUAUGCGAAAGCAUU
Molecule: ribosomal RNA, 322 nt
Filed under: uncultured Paracercomonas
Lineage: Eukaryota; Cercozoa; Cercomonadida; Cercomonadidae
Description: SSU rRNA
Rfam family: Eukaryotic small subunit ribosomal RNA (bases 67-322)
Source: RNAcentral